This 101-nucleotide ribosomal RNA is filed under the name uncultured bacterium. Its description in RNAcentral is "partial 16S ribosomal RNA". It matches the Rfam family "Bacterial small subunit ribosomal RNA", at positions 1384 to 1482 of the family's 1533-position model. The record is from RNAcentral.
UACACACCGCCCGUCACGCCACGAAAGCUUGUUGUACCAGAAAACGGUGGGCUAACCCGCAAGGGAGGCAGCUGUCUACGGUAUGGCAGGUGAUUGGGGCG